CAGACUUAGUGGGUUUUGACUUCUGCAAAACUCUUGAGUUCAAUGUGGGCAGUCUUAGUGUCUUAGUCUAUUCCUUUUUUUUCUGCAGUUGGGGAUGAACCCAGGCCUUGGCACUCACUAGCUGUACAACCUACAACCUCUGACCCCCAUUUCAGCCCAUCAUUCCAGCUGCUAGAUUCUCAUUCACUCAGAGCUCAGCAUGCUGCAGUGUGUGCAUUAGGCCCUGCUGGCUGGUUGAACCCUCCAGGGCUCCUAUCUGCGCCCCAGCCCUGAGAGUGCGGGCAAGAGGCUCAUACUGGCUCCCAGCUUCUGUACAUGUUCUGGAGACCGGGCUAGGGUCCUCUGCUUCCUGAGCGAGCACUUCACCGACGCAGCCCCACCCAGCCGCUUACUCAUUGCAGAGAGGUAACUCGGGGCUCUAGUGCACAUCUUUAUUUAUUUAGUAUCAUGUGUUUGAGUGUAUCAUGUGUCUACAGCGCCUGUGAUGGCCAGAGAACAACUGUGCGGAGUCAAAUCUCUCCUCAACCUGUCCGUGGGUUUUAGGGAUCAAAUUGAGUUGCCAGGCUUGGCUCCGCAACAGGUACCUUUGAACCAUUUCACUGGCCCUUUAUUUGGUUUCUUAAGAGUUUCACUCUGUGGCACAGGCUGGCCCAGAACUUGAAGCAAUCCUUCUGCUCUAGCCUCCCAAAUGCUGAAAUUAUGGAUGUGGGACAGUUUAAGCCAUGCUCAGGUCCGUGGCCGACGGGCGAUGGAGCUGUGCAGCCGUCGGCACAGUUGAUGCCGGACCACUGCCAUCACCCCUGGAAAGCACUGUUCUAGACAGGCACCCCAACCCCUCUCUAACACUCACAGAAAUGGAACCCUGCAGCCGGGAAGGGGUACGGUGGCCAAGCACUUGGCAGUCAUUCAGCGGGCCCUAAGUUCUAUCCCCAGCAUCAGUACAAGGGAGACAAAAAAUUCUUAGAAAUGGAGCAAUAUAAUCUUCUGGUUUACAUCCAGCAGAGCAUUUCAUGGUUCAUCCAGGUUGUAGUAUGAAUAUGUACUUUCUUAUCCUUUUGUUUUGCUUUGUGGUACUGGAGAUUGAAGCCAGAAAUUCACACACUGCUCAGCCGCUCUUCAGUGAGCUACAUACACAGUGCCCUAUUUAUUUCUUUAGUGGAAUAAUAUCCCACCAGUUAUGGACGGUGAUUGGAAUGAGACCCACAGGCUCACAGGUUGAAGAAAUGGUUCCCAGCUGGUAGGCCACUUUGGGAGGAACAGGAGGUGUGGCCUUGGAGGAGGUGUGUCCCUGCGAGUGGCUUUGAGGUUGCAAAAGCCCAUGCCUUUCCCAGUUAUGGUUCUCUCUGCCUCAGGCCUAUGGGUCAGGCGAAGCUCUCGGCUACUGCUCCAGCAUGGCUGCCCACCUGCUUCCUGCCUGCCUGCCUGCCUGCUCCCAGCCAUGAUGGUCAUGGAACUAUGAACCCCAAAUUAAAUGUUUUCUUUCUAA
Molecule: long non-coding RNA, 1486 nt
Organism: Meriones unguiculatus (Mongolian gerbil)
Lineage: Eukaryota; Metazoa; Chordata; Mammalia; Rodentia; Muridae
Exons: 2
Source: RefSeq, a predicted model, not a curated record